Molecule: ribosomal RNA, 391 nt
Filed under: uncultured bacterium
Lineage: Bacteria
Description: bacterial SSU rRNA
Rfam family: Bacterial small subunit ribosomal RNA
Source: RNAcentral
AUUGAACGCUGGCGGCAUGCCUUACACAUGCAAGUCGAACGGUAACGGGCCUUCGGGUGCCGACGAGUGGCGAACGGGUGAGUAAUGCAUCGGAACGUACCUUUCAGUGGGGGAUAACGUAGCGAAAGUUACGCUAAUACCGCAUAUUCUGUGAGCAGGAAAGCAGGGGAUCGCAAGACCUUGCGCUGAUUGAGCGGCCGAUGUCAGAUUAGCUAGUUGGUGAGGUAAAGGCUCACCAAGGCGACGAUCUGUAGCGGGUCUGAGAGGAUGAUCCGCCACACUGGAACUGAGACACGGUCCAGACUCCUACGGGAGGCAGCAGUGGGGGAAUUUUGGACAAUGGGGGCAACCCUGAUCCAGCCAUGCCGCGUGAGUGAAGAAGGCCUCGGUU